Molecule: ribosomal RNA, 451 nt
Filed under: Paramoeba aestuarina
Lineage: Eukaryota; Discosea; Flabellinia; Dactylopodida; Paramoebidae
Description: partial Bacterial large subunit ribosomal RNA
Rfam family: Bacterial large subunit ribosomal RNA
Source: RNAcentral
UUGAAAAGUUAGGGGAUGACUUGUGGCUGGGGGUGAAAGGCCAAUCAAACCGGGAGAUAGCUGGUUCUCCCCGAAAUCUAUUUAGGUAGAGCCUCGGACGAAUUCCAUUGGGGGUAGAGCACUGUUAAGGCUAGGGGGUCAUCCCGACUUACCAACCCUUUGCAAACUCCGAAUACCAAUGAGAACUAUCCGGGAGACACACGGCGGGUGCUAACGUCCGUCGUGGAGAGGGAAACAACCCAGACCGCCAGCUAAGGUCCCAAAAUAUUGCUAAGUGGGAAACGAUGUGGGAAGGCAUAGACAGCUAGGAGGUUGGCUUAGAAGCAGCCAUCCUUUAAAGAUAGCGUAACAGCUCACUGGUCUAAAUAAGACGUCCUGCGGCGAAGAUGUAACGGGGCUCAAGCCAUGAGCCGAAGCCGAGGAUGCACAUAGUGCAUGGUAGCAGAGCGUA